AGAGUUUGAUCAUGGCUCAGAAUCAACGCUGGCGGCGCGCUUAACACAUGCAAGUCGCACGAGAAAGGGGAGCAAUCCCUGAGUACAGUGGCGUACGGGUGAGUAACACGUGGAUGAUCUACCUUCUAGUGGGGAAUACCCCUGGGAAACCGGGGAUAAUACCGCAUAAGCUCGUGAGAGGAAAGCAGCAAUGCGCUGGAAGAGGAGUCCGCGGCUGAUUAGCUAGUUGGCGGGGUAAUGGCCCACCAAGGCGAAGAUCGGUAGCCGGCCUGAGAGGGCACACGGCCACACUGGCACUGAAACACGGGCCAGACUCCUACGGGAGGCAGCAGUGGGGAAUCUUGCACAAUGGAGGAAACUCUGAUGCAGCGACGCCGCGUGAGCGAUGAAGCCCCUCGGGGUGUAAAGCUCUUUCGACGGGAAAGAUAAUGACGGUACCCGAAGAAGAAGCUGCGGCUAACUACGUGCCAGCAGCCGCGGUAAUACGUAGGCAGCGAGCGUUGUUCGGAAUUACUGGGCGUAAAGAGUGUGUAGGCGGUGUUCUAAGUCUGGUGUGAAAUCUCCCGGCUCAACUGGGAGGGUGCGCCGGAAACUGGGAUGCUAGAGUGUGGGAGAGGUAAGCGGAAUUCCUGGUGUAGCGGUGAAAUGCGUAGAUAUCAGGAGGAACACCUGUGGUGUAGACAGCUUACUGGACCACGGCUGACGCUGAGACACGAAAGCGUGGGUAGCAAACAGGAUUAGAUACCCUGGUAGUCCACGCCCUAAACGAUGCAUACUUGGUGUGAGCCAUUCAUUUGGUUCGUGCCGGAGCUAACGCGUUAAGUAUGCCGCCUGGGGAGUACGGUCGCAAGGCUGAACUCAAAGGAAUUGACGGGGGCCCGCACAAGCGGUGGAGCAUGUGGUUCAAUUCGACGCAACGCGAAGAUCUUACCUGGGCUCGAACGGCUUAAGACAGAGGAUGGAAACAUUCUUUUCCCGCAAGGGACUUGAG
This 991-nucleotide ribosomal RNA is filed under the name uncultured bacterium. RNAcentral's name for it is "bacterial SSU rRNA". It matches the Rfam family "Bacterial small subunit ribosomal RNA", at positions 8 to 1032 of the family's 1533-position model. The record is from RNAcentral.